AUUGAACGCUGGCGGCAUGCCUUACACAUGCAAGUCGAACGGCAGCACGGGAGCAAUCCUGGUGGCGAGUGGCGAACGGGUGAGUAAAGUAUCGGAACGUGCCCAGUCGUGGGGGAUAACGUAGCGAAAGUUACGCUAAUACCGCAUACGAUCUAUGGAUGAAAGCGGGGGAUCGCAAGACCUCGCGCGAUUGGAGCGGCCGAUAUAAGAUUAGGUAGUUGGUGGGGUAAAGGCUCACCAAGCCGACGAUCUGUAGCUGGUCUGAGAGGACGACCAGCCACACUGGGAGUGAGACACGGCCCCGACUCCUACGGGAGGCAGCAGUGGGGAAUUUUGGACAAUGGGCGAAAGCCUGAUCCAGCCAUGCCGCGUGCAGGAUGAAGGCCUUCGGGUUGUAAACUGCUUUUGUACGGAACGAAAAGGUUUGGCCUAAUAAGCUGAGCUCAUGACGGUACCGUAAGAAUAAGCACCGGCUAACUACGUGCCAGCAGCCGCAGUAA
Molecule: ribosomal RNA, 500 nt
Filed under: uncultured bacterium
Lineage: Bacteria
Description: partial 16S ribosomal RNA
Rfam family: Bacterial small subunit ribosomal RNA
Source: RNAcentral